RNAcentral lists this ribosomal RNA (267 nucleotides) under uncultured Atopobium sp. Its description in RNAcentral is "partial 16S ribosomal RNA". It matches the Rfam family "Bacterial small subunit ribosomal RNA", at positions 89 to 355 of the family's 1533-position model. Lineage: Bacteria; Bacillati; Actinomycetota; Coriobacteriia; Coriobacteriales; Atopobiaceae. The record is from RNAcentral.
UAUAAAGUGGCGAACGGCUGAGUAACACGUGGGCAACCUGCCCUUUGCACUGGGAUAGCCCCGGGAAACCGAGGUUAAUACCGGAUACUCCAUAUUUGUCGCAUGGCGAAUAUGGGAAAGCUCCGGCGGCAAAGGAUGGGCCCGCGGCCUGUUAGCUAGUUGGUGGGGUAGUGGCCUACCAAGGCAAUGAUGGGUAGCCGGGUUGAGAGACCGACCGGCCAGAUUGGGACUGAGACACGGCCCAGACUCCUACGGGAGGCAGCAGCC